RNAcentral lists this ribosomal RNA (692 nucleotides) under uncultured bacterium. Its description in RNAcentral is "bacterial SSU rRNA". It matches the Rfam family "Bacterial small subunit ribosomal RNA", at positions 94 to 803 of the family's 1533-position model. The record is from RNAcentral.
AGUGGCGCACGGGUGAGUAACGCGUAGGCAUCUGCCCUCGGGCGGGGAAUAACCACGGGAAACCGUGGCUAAUACCACAUAACUCCGCAUGGACAAAGGCUUCGGCCACCUGAGGAUGAGCCUGCGUCGGAUUAGCUAGUUGGUGAGGUAACAGCUCACCAAGGCGACGAUCCGUAGCGGGUCUGAGAGGAUGAUCCGCCACACUGGCACUGAGACACGGGCCAGACUCCUACGGGAGGCAGCAGUGAGGAAUAUUGCGCAAUGGACGAAAGUCUGACGCAGCCACGCCGCGUGCAGGAAGACACCCUCAGGGGCGUAAACUGCUUUUAUACGGGAAGAACACCUCCUUCUAGGAGGUCUGACGGUACCGUACGAAUAAGGACCGGCUAACUCCGUGCCAGCAGCCGCGGUAAUACGGAGGGUCCAAGCGUUGUCCGGAAUCACUGGGUGUAAAGGGUGCGCAGGCGGGCGUGUAAGUCAGGGGUGAAAGCCACCGGCCUAACCGGUGAACUGCCCUUGAUACUGCACGUCUUGAGUCCCGGAGAGGCUAUCGGAAUUCGUGGUGUAGCGGUGAAAUGCGUAAAUAUCACGAGGAACACCUGAUGCGUAGGCGGAUAGCUGGACGGCUACUGACGCUCAGCACGAAAGCGUGGGAAGCAAACAUGAAUAGAUACCUUGGUAGUCCACGCCCA